This 331-nucleotide ribosomal RNA is filed under the name uncultured bacterium. Its description in RNAcentral is "bacterial SSU rRNA". It matches the Rfam family "Bacterial small subunit ribosomal RNA", at positions 568 to 898 of the family's 1533-position model. The record is from RNAcentral.
CGCGUAGGUGGUAGUGUAAGUCUGGGGUGGAAUGCCGGGGCUUAACCCUGGAAUUGCCUUGGAAACUGCAUUACUUGAGUCAGUGAGGGGAGGGUAGAAUUCCUGGUGUAGCGGUGAAAUGCGUAGAUAUCAGGAGGAAGGCCUGUGGCGAAGGCGGCCCUCUGGUGCUGGACUGACACUGAGGCGCGAAAGCGUGGGGAGCAAACAGGAUUAGAUACCCUAGGUAGUCCACGCCCUAAACGGUGGGCACUAGGUGUAGGGCUCGUAAGGGUUCUGUGCCGAAGGGAAACCAUUAAGUGCCCCGCCUGGGGAGUACGGCCGCAAGGUUGAA